GGUAAUGUAGUUGUUCUUUCAAGUUGCUCAAACACCUUCUACAUCUUGGCCUUUAUUUCCUCUAGGAUAUCUCACCAUCUAUUUUUCAUCCAUCCAUCCAUCUGUCCAUCUGUCCAUCCAUCCCCCAACAAAUAGAUAUGAGGAAGCUGCUGCAUGCUGGUCACUGCUGCAUACUAGGGAUACAUCCAGUUACUGUUUACAUCUAGAUGUCCUCUAAGAGCCUAAUGAGUGCGUAGGCAGAACUUUUGGAAGGUGAUUAGAAUAUAGGGGUAUUGCAGCUGACUUGCUAUUAGGUGGCCAGGUCUGGUCAGAAGAGGUGGGUCACUGGAGGGAUGGUCUGAAAGAGUGAAUCAUUCUUACUAGUUCCUCUUUUUGCCCACCUUAGACUGAAACUGCCAAAAUGUGAUCCAAAAUAAUUAUUUCCUUCUUUAAGUUGUGGGUGUCAGUCAUUGUGUUUCAGCGAUGAGGAAAGUGAAUCAGAUAAUCCACCUGUAAAUAAAAUGGACGAAUCUAUCUUAUCAGAAGUUGUGGGAGCAGCUGUACGGAAGAUAACUUUACAUUUAAGACACUGCGCCAUUUUGAGAUUUUGGGGAGUAACUGAUCAAGGAAUUCUAAGUAUAAUCCUUUAGAGAAGUGAUGAAAAUAGACCAUUUCAAACCACAUCUCUGAAGAGGCCUCAUCUGUGCUAUGGCUCUAAUCCUGAAUGCCUCCUUGAAGUGAACACAAUUCUUGCUGCUCAUUUUACAGAUGUGGAACCCUAACCUGGAGAAGGUCAUUAUUCCAAAUAUCUGGGCUUUUCGUACAAGAUGAAAGAUGGAGAUAUGGACUGAGUUGGAGAUAGGGUUGAAGACACUUGGACCUAAAACAUCUUGUGGAGGAACUCACAGCUGAGUUUGCCUUGAGUCUCAGAGAUUUGGGGUUUCAAUUUUUCAGCAAUGAUGAACUGUUAAGACUUUGGUGACUCUUAGAAAUGAAUUGAAUGCAUUUUGCACAAGAUGGACAUGAGUCUUUUGGGGGCCAGGGGCAGAAUGUUAUGGUUGAGAUAAAAAAAAUACUUUCUUCCAAAAAUUCUUCAUCUAGAGAUGAGGGCUGGUCAAAAGAAGCAGGUAACUGAAGGAAUGAUUUGGAAGGGUAUAUUCUCAUCCCUGAACAACUUUCUUCCACCAUGCAAUUUUGUCAUGCUAUUUCAGUCUUGGAGCCAAUCCACCAUAGAUUGAAUCCACUGAAACCUCUUUUAAGCUGCAGGGGUUGGUUAUUUUGUCCCAUUGACAGAAAAGUAACUAAUACAGUAAUUGAGAUUGGAAUAAAAGAAAUUGUAAUUGCCCAGCUCAUUUGGAUGCUGAGUGAUUUUUGAGGCUUUGAUCUGUUAAGGCUGACAAAAUCAAUGUAGCUCAUGA
Molecule: long non-coding RNA, 1397 nt
Filed under: Heterocephalus glaber (naked mole-rat)
Lineage: Eukaryota; Metazoa; Chordata; Mammalia; Rodentia; Bathyergidae
Description: lncRNA (ENSHGLG00100052378.1)
Source: RNAcentral